RNAcentral lists this ribosomal RNA (465 nucleotides) under Vreelandella stevensii. RNAcentral describes it as "partial 16S ribosomal RNA". It matches the Rfam family "Bacterial small subunit ribosomal RNA", at positions 338 to 795 of the family's 1533-position model. Lineage: Bacteria; Pseudomonadati; Pseudomonadota; Gammaproteobacteria; Oceanospirillales; Halomonadaceae. The record is from RNAcentral.
CCUACGGGCGGCAGCAGUGGGGAAUAUUGGACAAUGGGGGGAACCCUGAUCCAGCCAUGCCGCGUGUGUGAAGAAGGCCCUCGGGUUGUAAAGCACUUUCAGUGAGGAAGAACGCCUGGUGGUUAAUACCCAUCAGGAAAGACAUCACUCACAGAAGAAGCACCGGCUAACUCCGUGCCAGCAGCCGCGGUAAUACGGAGGGUGCGAGCGUUAAUCGGAAUUACUGGGCGUAAAGCGCGCGUAGGUGGCUUGAUAAGCCGGUUGUGAAAGCCCCGGGCUCAACCUGGGAACGGCAUCCGGAACUGUCAAGCUAGAGUGCAGGAGAGGAAGGUAGAAUUCCCGGUGUAGCGGUGAAAUGCGUAGAGAUCGGGAGGAAUAGCAGUGGCGAAGGCGGCCUUCUGGACUGACACUGACACUGAGGUGCGAAAGCGUGGGUAGCAAACAGGAUUAGAUACCCUUGUAGUC